UUGGGUUGGCCAAAAAGUUCAUUUGAAUUUUUCUAUAACAUCUUACAAAAAAAUUGGAAUGAACUUUUUGGCCAAUUCAA
This 80-nucleotide microRNA precursor is filed under the name Ovis aries (sheep). Its description in RNAcentral is "miRNA (ENSOARG00000023542.1)". The record is from RNAcentral. Lineage: Eukaryota; Metazoa; Chordata; Mammalia; Artiodactyla; Bovidae.